UGAUGACUUUUCCGGAAUCGCUGCAAUCUCUGUGAUGAUUCUUUGUUGAACCCUUUUCCACCUGAUGGCUGUCCUGGCUCUGC
RNAcentral lists this small nucleolar RNA (83 nucleotides) under Salvator merianae (Argentine black and white tegu). RNAcentral's name for it is "Small nucleolar RNA MBII-202 (ENSSMRG00000007065.1)". It matches the Rfam family "Small nucleolar RNA MBII-202". Rfam says of the family: MBII-202 is a member of the C/D class of snoRNA which contain the C (UGAUGA) and D (CUGA) box motifs. Most of the members of the box C/D family function in directing site-specific 2'-O-methylation of substrate RNAs. The record is from Rfam by way of RNAcentral. Lineage: Eukaryota; Metazoa; Chordata; Lepidosauria; Squamata; Teiidae.